RNAcentral lists this ribosomal RNA (470 nucleotides) under uncultured bacterium. Its description in RNAcentral is "bacterial SSU rRNA". It matches the Rfam family "Bacterial small subunit ribosomal RNA", at positions 28 to 507 of the family's 1533-position model. The record is from RNAcentral.
GACGAACGCUGGCGGCGUGCCUAACACAUGCAAGUCGAACGGGGUUAAAGGAGAGCUUGCUUGAAUUUAACUUAGUGGCGAACGGGUGAGUAACGCGUGAGAAACCUGCCUCUCAGUGGGGGACAACAGUUGGAAACGACUGCUAAUACCGCAUAACACUUUAGUACCGCAUGGUACAGAAGUCAAAGCUUUAUGUGCUGAGAGAUGGUCUCGCGUCUGACUAGCUAGAUGGCGGGGUAACGGCCCACCAUGGCGACGAUGUCUAGGGGUUCUGAGAGGAAGGUCCCCCACACUGGAACUGAGACACGGCCCAAACUCCUACGGGAGGCAGCAGUGGGGAAUAUUGCACAAUGGGCGAAAGCCUGAUGCAGCGACGCCGCGUGAAGGAUGAAGUAUUUCGGUAUGUAAACUUCUAUCAGCAGGGAAGAAAAUGACGGUACCUGACUAAGAAGCCCCCGGNUAACUACGUG